RNAcentral lists this ribosomal RNA (253 nucleotides) under uncultured bacterium. RNAcentral's name for it is "partial 16S ribosomal RNA". It matches the Rfam family "Bacterial small subunit ribosomal RNA", at positions 524 to 776 of the family's 1533-position model. The record is from RNAcentral.
UACGGAGGGGGCUAGCGUUGUUCGGAAUUACUGGGCGUAAAGCGCGCGUAGGUGGCCUCAUAAGUCCGCUGUGAAAGUCAAAGGCUCAACCUUUGAAAGCCGGUGGAUACUGUGAGGCUAGAGUACGGAAGAGGCGAGUGGAAUUCCCGGUGUAGCGGUGAAAUGCGCAGAUAUCGGGAGGAACACCGGUGGCGAAGGCGGUUCUCUGGGCCUUACCUGACGCUGAGGAGCGAAAGCAUGGGGAGCGAACAGG